Alosa alosa (allis shad) is the source of this 661-nucleotide long non-coding RNA. RefSeq lists it as uncharacterized. The transcript has 3 exons. The record is from RefSeq and is a predicted model, not a curated record. NCBI's taxonomy places the organism in Eukaryota, Metazoa, Chordata, Actinopteri, Clupeiformes, Clupeidae.
UUGACCUGAAAUUGCAACUAUUUUUUGCCUUUUUGCUGUGUUAUGUCCACUAUCUACUCUAUGUGAAUACCUGUUUGUUGGUUACAGGUGCAUGUCCUCAUUGUAUCAAGACCCACAGUGGUCACAGCAUGCAGAGGAGGCUGCAAAUAAAGCACUUUUGAGCAUGUCUGAGGGGGAGGGUGUCAUUCCAUGAUGGCGUCGAGUGGAUGAAGCAGAGAUAUGCAGAAGAAUAUUUUUCCCUCUCUGAUGUGUGGGGGGUGAUUACAUGCUGGAUAAAGGGUGUAUCUCUGGAGACCAGGCCUUUUAUGGAUGACAAAGAUGAAAAUGGGACCAAUCCUUACCCACUCUACAGUGCAAUGGAAAAACAUUGCUUUCACAAGGAACAGCGAAAAGAAAUGGGGUUUGAGUUUAGCCCCCAUGAAGUUGGCUUCCUAGAGCCUGGACAUCACUGCUGAAGAAGGACUUUGAGGGAGGGACAUUGAAACCUGUGCAGCCUGUGCAGAGGAAGCCAAUGGACAUGGUUGAACUGCAAGGUUAUCUUUUGCUAUUAACACCCCAAUGCAAUAGCUCGACACAAUAAAUGCUGAUGUUCUAAUCCAGCACUACCGGUUGUACCACACUCCCCAGAAAGAGGAAGAACUCUGCUGAAAUGUGAUGCAUA